This is a long non-coding RNA of Pan troglodytes (chimpanzee), 1093 nucleotides long. RefSeq lists it as uncharacterized. The transcript is spliced from 3 exons. NCBI's taxonomy places the organism in Eukaryota, Metazoa, Chordata, Mammalia, Primates, Hominidae. The record is from RefSeq and is a predicted model, not a curated record.
GCGAAUCAUCAGUUUCUCUUGCAGCCAUCCGUGCAUAAUAUGACUCUUUCUCUAUUGCAAUUUAUUUUUCUUGAUAAAUCACCCUGUCUAGGCAGUGGGCAAGGUGAAUCCACUGGGUGGUUACGCUCUUUUGCCAUGCUCCACUAGAAGACAAAAGAUGCACCUGCAAGCUAGGCAGCAUUGCACUCGCUUUUCAAUUGGAUUGGACCAUGGGGGCGGUUUCCCUCGUGCUGUUCUCGUGACAGUGAACUCUUCGAAGAUCUGGCUGUUUAAAAGCGUGUGGCAGGUUUGGCCCAUAGCCACCACAGUAAGACGUGCCUGCUUUUCCUCUGCCGUGGUUGUGAGUUGCCUGAGUCCUCUCGGUCGUGCUUCCUGCUAGGCCUGCAGAACUAGUGACCAACUGCAGCAUGUGAAGAAGAAAAAAAAAAAAAAGGAUACUGAGACUUGGAUGGAUGCAUCAAGAAGUAGCAAUGUUUGUUACCUGCAGAGGUGUUACAAGAAAUUUCAUCUGCUGCAACGAAGACGAACUGAUUUCUGGAAGAGAAGAUAAAAUUCACAAUACUGCUCGCUCAGGGGGAAAUGUGCUCUCUGCCAAUUGCUUUGAUGUGUACAGAUGAGGGGAGGGAAGGGUGCUGCGUGUGAAUGGAUGUUGCAAGGAAAUGUGCUGAUGUACCUCAGAGUUUAGAAAGAUCAUGAAAUAAGCAUGCGGGGACCUCUUAAAGUCAUGGUAAUGUCAGAAUAUGGACCAUGUACAAGCUGUUGCACCAAAUAUUAAUACUAUGUGUUACCAAAACAUGCCAGGAUAUGUUUCUAAGGCUAAAGCAUUUCAAAUUGUGCUCAUAUGACUUUCUAUGCUAAAGAGAUUACUUUUUAAAAUGAGACUAAUGAUUAAGAAAUAGGGUAUACUACAGCUAGCUAGAAAAAUUAUAAAAUUCUAGACUUAUAAUAUUAAGAAAAAGUGCUGUCAUUUCAGAAGACAAUUUUAUAUGGUGAUGUGUUAUGGAUAAUAAUUUCCUCAUCAAACCAGGCUUGCUACAUAGAGCUAAGAGAACUUGUCAAUUGAAAUAAACCCUAAUUAUUUUUAAUGAUGCAG